RNAcentral lists this long non-coding RNA (245 nucleotides) under Elaeis guineensis (African oil palm). Its description in RNAcentral is "long non-coding RNA (EGUI_LNC020834)". Lineage: Eukaryota; Viridiplantae; Streptophyta; Magnoliopsida; Arecales; Arecaceae. The record is from RNAcentral.
UACAUAUUAGCUUCAAGGUGACCUUCAUCAUAUACAUCAAGAACCUAAUCAAUCUAUUGUAGAAUUUUAUGCUCAGAUGCUCUCUUUUUAGGAUCUUUUAGCUCUUUCUGAAAUGGUACGAGAAACCACUAUGAUGCACAAAAGGUUCAUACUUAUCAAAACGAGGAUCACCUGACUUUGUUUCUAUGGGCCUCAAAGUUGCAUUUGAGCAUAUCACUAUAAGAAAAAUAAGUAUUAGUGACGGC